UGAGUAACUCGUAUAUCCAUCCGUCCACUCGUGGGCGGGUAUUAGUAAGGAUGAUGGCUGUCAAAAAAUUUAUGGAUAAAUUUUAUCCGUGCCAAAUAACCCGCAUGUACAAUGACCUGCCCGCAGGUUGCUCAAUCCGUUCGUUUGCUAGGUCUAUCAAAUUUUAAUUUAGUAUAAUUUCUUAUUCAAACUUUUUAGAUUGUUACAAUUAAAUCCCGCUGUCUAAUUAAUUUGAUUGAAUUGCUAACGUGUCACUGACGUGACAGUUAUGUAACAUUUUUGUGAUUAAUGAUAUGACAUGUCGCACAACUGCUGUAUUUGUAACAUAC
Molecule: long non-coding RNA, 329 nt
Filed under: Ananas comosus (pineapple)
Lineage: Eukaryota; Viridiplantae; Streptophyta; Magnoliopsida; Poales; Bromeliaceae
Description: long non-coding RNA (ACOM_LNC026460)
Source: RNAcentral